This 3144-nucleotide long non-coding RNA is filed under the name Daucus carota (carrot). RNAcentral's name for it is "long non-coding RNA (DCAR_LNC006638)". Lineage: Eukaryota; Viridiplantae; Streptophyta; Magnoliopsida; Apiales; Apiaceae. The record is from RNAcentral.
AGCCAUACUCGCAAUCUCAAUCAAGCAAUUCAUCUCUAAGCUUUUCUGAAAUGGUAAAAAAAAAAGAAUAGCAAGGGUGAGCUACAAUGCUCAACAAGUGUAUAUAAGCAACAAUAGUCCUGAAAUAUUUUAUCAGGGUUCACAAGUUCAGGAUAUGCAAUUGAAAACUUCACAAUUCUUAUCAGCAAUUGAAAUCAGAAUUUCAAACUUACAGAAGAAUUGUCGAAUUGGAUUCAUCACAUUUUUACUUAAAAACCAAAGGUUAGGCUGCUGAUCAGUCACGCACUAACCCCGAACAUGGCACACAGCCCUGUUCUCUAUACUGGAUCCAAGGCACACAUUGGCCUAUAAUUGACCACGAAUCUGGUCUGACCACGAAUCUGGUCCACAUAUUUUAUAAAAACUAAUCCAAUUCUAACAAUUUAAAUCAAUAGACAAUUCAAUCAACAGAACAGAAUCAUAAUCAUUAUCAACAACAGAAAUAUUUCAAAUCAACUUUUGGGAAUCAACAUUUCAUAAACCACAGUCUGUCUUUUGAUAAAUCAUAGUUCAGGAAAUUCCUAACUAUUCAGUAUCCUCCAUUAUCGGCUAAGCAACUGAAUUUAGCCUGCUAAACCAGCAUGACAAUGGCGGGUUGAAUAAUCAAGAAGAUCCCAGUUCAUUCUAGGUUCUAACUAUCACUGAGCAACACAUGCUUCAAUGACGGUCUGAACUUCGAAUUAAUUUGUAAAGCUGGUAUUUUUAAUAUCUUGAGGAUUGGAAAGAAUGGAUCAGAAUACUUGUAAUAGAAAUUGAGAGUAAUUAGGUGUUUGGAUUUUCAAAACUUGGAAGAAGAAAACAAUCAUGGGUUUCAUGCUCAGAAGUAAGAGUUUAUUUGAGAAGGGUUUCAGUAUAAACAAUAUCAUAAUCUUGACAGAAUAAUCAGAACAUGCAAUAUAUAUAUGAGGAAGGAUUUAGGAAAACUUGCCUUAAAUCCGAUUCCAGUCUCAUAUCUCAAUCUCAUCUUUCCACUUUCACACUCUAUGCAUAUCAUAGUCUCUAGACCAUCUUUGGCUAUACUCUAUUCGCCACACUGCUUCGUUUACUCGAUUCGUUCCUUAUUCGCUUUGUAACAUCGUUUGACCUUCUGAACGUCUUCGAUCGUAUCCGUCUCGUCCAAACCCUUUACGAGAAUAAGAUACUACCAUUAUCACUAAAUAAUCUAUUGAUUCUUAUCUCUACUUAUCAACUCGGUAGCAUAACCUAUCGCAUACACAUAUCACGUAUAUCGAUACCCACUUAUAUAACUCUUUAAACUCAUCAAAUAUCACUUAACACAUAAUCAUGCUUUGACUCUACCAUAUAGUCUAAUCAUAUUUCACAUAACAUAUUAUCAAUUAAAUAUCAUAUAAAUCUUAUCGAAAAUCCGACAUCGUCUCGUCUAUUUAUUAGACUAUCCACCUGUUAUCCUAUCUCAAUCAACAAUCAACCAACCAAAUCCAAUCACUAUAAUCCAUAUGCUUUUAUCCGACAUCUAUCAAGACACGACACUAUGUCAUUUAAUCAUUUAUCACAUGUAUGUAAUACUAGAACAACCAGAUAGUCCAUGCAAUCAUCAAUUAAUAGCAAUUAGAUCACAUAUAAUCAUAUUCUAUACAUUUAACAACAAUUAUUCACAUUCUAUACUCCACCAUAUUAUUAUGUCACAUUAAAAUAGACUUUAUAAGCUUUAAUCUCUUUUUCGUUUCACUCCAUUCUGAAUUACGAGUCAAAAGUUAUGAACAAAACUGUUUUCUUACUCUCUAUCGGCACAUAACACAUCAAACAGAUAGCAGACAACAUAUUUCAUAUAAGGUCUCCCAUCCCGAUUGAUGUCAAAUCAAGUCUUGGGUUAAAAAUGAUUUUUCGGGAAUUUUCUGGAAUUUCUAGACAUUUUUCGGAAUUAAAACAGGUAAAAGAAUCCAUUUUUGAAUAAAUAAUCAAGUCCGAUUGCUCAAGAUCGGAUCCAAAAUCAUUUGAAAUCAAUUAACGAGCCUCGAACAUAUUUUAGAAAAAUAAUUCAAAGCUCGAAACUAUUUUCCAGAAUUUUUAAAUCAAAAGGAACAAUUAAAUCUAAUUAAUUAAUCAAUUAAAAUCAAUUAAUAAUUAACUAAAUUAAUUAAUCAAUUAAUAUUUAAAUUAAUUGACCAAUUAAAAUAAUUAAUUACUAAUUAAAAUUAAUUUAGAAACUAAUUUAGAUUUAUUUUUGAAUAAAGAAAUAAUUAAAAACUAUUUUUGGAAUUUAAAAUAAUUAAAUAAAACAAUUUUAGAAAAUUAAAUCAAAAGGUUUAUUUUGUAAACUUUUGAAAGUUUUGUCCAGGGUUUAAAGUGUAACUUUCAGAAGUUACAGGGGCUGUUUUGCAAAGUUCAAAACCUCGAUACUAGAUCUUCACCAUCUUCAAAACAUGGGUGGCCAAACGACAAUUUGCCGCCGGCCACCACUGGCUCCGCCGGAAUCGGUGCUACCGACCUCCGUUCGCCACCAAAUUGUCCAGAAACGCAAUAUCCACCACCAGGAAUCUGUUGGUGGCUUCGUUUUCGAGAAAGGAGCGGCCAAUUGGCCGGAAAUCCGCCCGGAAGUUCGCCGCUGCCGAGUUCUUCGCGAACUCCGGCCGGCCUGUACACAGCUCGUUUACUUGUUUUGAACCCAUGUAUAGAUUCCUCUUAAAACGCUCUUUCUAAUGGUACUAACCACACACCCUCUAGCUUCCUAGAUUAAAAACGCCCAAUUUCAAUUGAAAAGCUUCAAGAACAUUCAAGAACACAUCUCAAGAAUCAAACCCUUAUUUCUAUAUGUUAUGGAAGUCAAAAAUCGACAUAUAAUAUAUGAAAACGAAUGGCAGGAGAUGCUCUACAACAUGGAAUCAUCAAAUCAAUCAAACAAUCACGUUUGCAAAAAUUCAUAUUUAAAAUCCAUAUAAUUCGAAUUUUCGAAAAUUAAUAAUAAUUUACCCGUGAAAUCUGCAGUGUUACGGUUGAUUAAAAUAGAUUCUACGCGUCGAGAGCUUCGUUUUGACUAUUUAUACGCCUCCAUCGGAUUCCAAUAACGCCUUCAAAUCCUCGUUUGAAUAUGAAGAACACGAAGAACACCCGUUCGUCUUCUCUCGGUAUUCGUGCAGAGAAACU